UACAGAGGUCCCAAGCGUUGUUCGGAUUCACUGGGCGUAAAGGGUGCGUAGGCGGUUGGGUAGGUCUGAUGUGAAAUCUCCAAGCUCAACUUGGAAAUGGCAUCGGAUACUAUUCGGCUCGAGGAAUGGAGGGGAGACUGGAAUACUUGGUGUAGCAGUGAAAUGCGUAGAUAUCAAGUGGAACACCAGUGGCGAAGGCGAGUCUCUGGACAUUUCCUGACGCUGAGGCACGAAAGCCAGGGGAGCAAACGGG
RNAcentral lists this ribosomal RNA (253 nucleotides) under uncultured bacterium. RNAcentral describes it as "partial 16S ribosomal RNA". It matches the Rfam family "Bacterial small subunit ribosomal RNA", at positions 524 to 776 of the family's 1533-position model. The record is from RNAcentral.